RNAcentral lists this unclassified non-coding RNA (329 nucleotides) under soil metagenome. RNAcentral describes it as "partial contains 5.8S ribosomal RNA, internal transcribed spacer 2, and large subunit ribosomal RNA". The stretch from base 1 to 120 matches the Rfam family "5.8S ribosomal RNA", at positions 35 to 154 of the family's 154-position model. The record is from RNAcentral.
GAUGAAGAACGCAGCGAAAUGCGAUAAGUAAUGUGAAUUGCAGAAUUCAGUGAAUCAUCGAAUCUUUGAACGCACAUUGCGCCCCUUGGUAUUCCGAGGGGCAUGCCUGUUCGAGCGUCAUUAUAACCCCUCAAGCUCAGCUUGGUGUUGGGGCCUGCUGCACUGGCAGCCCUUAAAAUCAGUGGCGGCGCCAUCUGGCUCUAAGCGUAGUAAUUCUUCUCGCUAUGGAGUCCUGGUGGAUGCUUGCCAUCAACCCCCAAUUUUUCUAUGGUUGACCUCGGAUCAGGUAGGGAUACCCGCUGAACUUAAGCAUACCAAUAAGCGGAGGA